This 235-nucleotide ribosomal RNA is filed under the name uncultured bacterium. Its description in RNAcentral is "partial 16S ribosomal RNA". It matches the Rfam family "Bacterial small subunit ribosomal RNA", at positions 118 to 347 of the family's 1533-position model. The record is from RNAcentral.
UGAGGAACAUGACCUUCGGCGGGGGAUAGCCGGCCCAACGGCCGGGUAAUACCGCGUACGACCACAUGGGGACAUCCCUGAGUGGUGAAAGCAGCAAUGCGCCGAUGGAGUGCCUCGCGGCCUAUCAGCUAGUUGGUGAGGUAACGGCUCACCAAGGCGACGACGGGUAGCCGGCCUGAGAGGGCGAUCGGCCACACUGGGACUGAGACACGGCCCAGACUCCGUACGGGAGCAG